Brassica napus (rape) is the source of this 4849-nucleotide long non-coding RNA. RefSeq lists it as uncharacterized. NCBI's taxonomy places the organism in Eukaryota, Viridiplantae, Streptophyta, Magnoliopsida, Brassicales, Brassicaceae. The record is from RefSeq and is a predicted model, not a curated record. The transcript is spliced from 4 exons.
GAAUCCUUGAUGUUUUCUUGUAGUGCACACCUUGAAACCAAGGGCCAGAUCCUGUAUUUUAUCGAUUAAGUUUCCAUGUCUUGGCUAAUCGCUAGGUUGUAGAAACUUUGUGAUCGCCAUAGCACAGCCGGACACCACCUCCACACUGAAUGACGCUCAUGACAAAGACACAUUGAACUUAACCACACCACAUCUUAUCUCGGUUUGGUCCACUUAGCUUGAGAAAAAAUUAUAUUGUUACAGGUUUCUUGCUCCAUAUAUUGCAUUGUAGCAUUCAUGUUCAAGGAAAUAUUGACUAUGUAUUCCAAAAUAAAUUAAUAAUCGUACGAUUGCUUAUGAUUUUUUUUCUUUUUUGAUAACCGUAGUGUGAUCCCAAAGUUUUUCUAUACCCAAAGACUAAUCACUACGAAGCCCGUAGGAUCCGUGUUUUCUUACCACUUAAAGCGUUCCGAGUGGCCAAGGAGAAUCAAACCCAGGGCGAUACUAACAGGGUGAGCCUUUUACUACUAGGCCAAGACCACUUGGUUGGUUACGAUUGCUUAUGAUAUUGAGUAAAACUAUAUUAAGUCUAAGUUUUGGUUCUGUGUUAGUUUUAUGAAGACGAAAAAAAAACUACUAAUUUAUGCAAAAAAAAACUAUAACUAUUAAUUUGAUGAUUUUUUUUGAAUGAAUGUAAAUUUUAUUCAAUAUAAAACUUUGUUUCAUCAAGUGCUUCUAUUUUUGAUUCUUGUAAAUAAUCAAAGAACCCAUUAAAAAAAAUCAAAUUUUGAGCUUUAAAUUGGAAAAAAAUCUUUCACUUGUGUCCCAAGCCAGGUACACAGCCUUUGUCGAGGUAUCUCUGACCUUUUCCUCAAAGUGAUAUAACAAUUUCGGACAAACCAUUUUGUCCACAAACUUGAUCAGGACCUUCUCAUCUCUUGGUUACUCACCAUGUCGACGAAAUUGCGUUCUCUCCAUAUACUAGGCACCAGAGCUUGAAACCAUAGCGAAUGAGGAAUACCUCCGUUGAGAGCCUGCGCUAAAUAUAACAUCUAAAAUCUCACUCCAUUUUGUUGUGAAUGCAUCUCUUAAGAUUUUCCCUACUAGUUAUUUCCAUACUUUUGCUGAGUAGCGACAUCUAAAGAACAUGUGCUGGCAAGUCUCCUGAUUUUCCUGGCACAACACACAGCAUAUUCGUUUCUUGGCAUCAAAAUAAAAGGAUUAGUUGAGUGAAUUUUUCUAUGUUUUGUGUUAGUGCUAAAAGAAAAACCAUUACGUGCAAAAAACUAUAAAAUGUCGAUUUUCAAAAGGGAUUGUUCAAGAGAUCGAACCCACAGGUAAAAGAGAUCAAUAAAGAAAAAUGUUGGACUAAAGGUUUUGAUUUGGCUGCGCUUGAUAUUUUUGUUGUAUAUAAACAAAUCAAACUUACAGAAAGAGAUAUAAGGAGAUAGUAGCAAAUCCACUACCCAACUUGUGUUAUAGAUUGGUCCAUGAACCUAUUCAUCUUCAACUUUGAGUUGAAUCGCUUGUUUUUACAGCCACAACAAUCAUAUGUAAAUGUGAGUGAAACUUCCAGUGGACCAGAUCGUUCGGUUAUCGCAGGAUAUACAAACAUUAGUUUUCUUUUUCUUUUAAAUGAAACUCAACGAGACCAGAAAAACGAGUCCUCCACCGACGAAGUUGUACACUUGCUAACGGUGAGUGCUCGCUCAGUAAGUGUUUGAUAGAUUUCACAAAACCUUAACCAAGAAACUCAAGUUAAUGGCAGCUACAAUACAUUAUUUUGAAAAAAAAAAUUAUUCUUACCGAAUAGAGUAUGAAUAUAUUUGAACUUGUCAUAGUUUAUGGUCAUUAGACCAACUCCAGCUGUGGGUUGAGCAAGGGGUUUUUUAAACCAAAAAAGAGAAAAAAUUAAAUAAAAAAUGGUUUUAUUAGAAAGAACCGCUGCCUAAUUAAAAGAGUUUAGAGUUGGUUAAAACCCCAAAAGUGGCAGAAACGUAUUGGGUGGUUCCUUUUACGGGAAAUAAAAGUCGCCUCUUUCUCUUUCACUUUCGGUUCAUCUUCGAUGUCAUCGACAUCUCUUCGCCUUCACUUCUGCAAAAAUCUCCGACAGAGAUGAUGUUUGAUCUGUUUGUUCGUCAACAAUCUUGACUCUCUCUUGUUCGAUUUCGUCGAAAUCACAUCAUCGGGUCUCUCUCUUCCUCGUUGAUUCUGUCGAAACCUCGAAUGGAGAUGUCGUUUGAUUCGUUUCUUUCUUCGUCGAUGUUCUCCUCCAGACUCGUGCAUGCAAUCACCAUGAAGAUCGAUGGGGGAAGUUGUGGUAUUAGCAGCGAUGAAGGGACUAUGGAGACGAUGAUGAACAGAGGCUCACGGUUUUGCUUGUCGAAUCCGAUGACUCAACUCACCAAAUUGUCGCCGCCCUUUUUCAAUAGUUCAAUUACAAAGGUUAGCUGCGUGGGAGACAUUAAAGGAGAAGAGACAUACCAGUGAAAUGGACAAAGGUCUUGCAGGGAGCAGCAAGAUACGGAUCAAACGUCAUCAAAGCGGAUUAAACAUGCCAAGAGGUGAAACAGAGAAGACUUGUGACACAAGAGAAGACUCGAGUCUAUAGUUUGCUUACUGGUGUGAUCACUCUUUGUUGUCAUUGGCUAUUGUAUGUGUUUCUCGUGUUGUCUUAGUCUGUGGUCUGAUGCUCUCUUUGUUCUUACUGCAGGUGGGACAUAAGAAGCAAAUUGGACUGUGGUCUGAUACUUCUCGUGUUGUCUUGGACAGUAAACUUGUGACACAAUAAGACAAUAUGUUCCAUGUAAUAAGUUGUUGUAUUUUGUAAGUUGUAUCUCGUGAGUAAUAAGACAAUAUGUUCCAUGUAAACUUGUGACACAAUAAGACAAUAUGUUCUUUAUAAUUUAUUCUUCAAUCUUUAUAAGUUGUAUCUCGUUAUUGCAAUGUGAAACAACAACCACACGAGAGAAAGCAAAAGCAAUUGCAAAGCUUCAUGUUUUAGAGUUUCUUUAUAAAUUGUAGAAACACGAGAGAGAGAUAAACAAAAACAACAACCCUCCAAAUAAACAAAAACAACAACUCGAGAGAGAUCAAGUGCUUGUUUCUUAUUUUUCUCCAAAUAAUCAAAUCUUUUUCACAUUUCUUUCUUAACAUUUUUUUUAAUGGCAUCUUCUUCUUCUAAUAAUUUCGAUGAUGAAAUGGAUGAAAAAUUCGAUCAAAUUUUCGAUCAACAAUUCGAAAAUCUCUUCAUUCAUCAUGAAAAUCGCCAAGAAGCAUCAAGGUCAAAAAAUAAACGAGCCUACAUUGAAAGACAACGAGAACAAGGACACAUGCAGUUAUGGAACAAUUAUUUUAGUGAAGAUGCAACAUAUUCUUCUCACAUGUUUCGACGCCGGUUUCGAAUGAACAAGCCCUUGUUCAUGCGUAUUGUUGAUUGACUCUCCGCUGAAAUCCCAUACUUCCGACAAAGAAGAGAUUCUACUGGCAGGUUCGGUCACUCUCCGUUACAAAAGGCAACGGCAGCAAUUCAUAUGAUGGCAUAUGGUUGCCCAUCUGAUGCGGUCGACGAAUACCUCCGACUUGGUGAGACCACCGCGCCUUUAUGCUUGGAACAUUUUGUUGAAGGAAUCAUAAAUUUAUUUGGAGAUGAGUAUCUAAGAAGACCCACGCCAGAAGAUCUUCAACGACUACUCGAUAUUGGAGAGAUACGCGGAUUUCCCGAGAUGAUAGGAAGCAUUGAUGGUAUGCAUUGGAAGUGGAAGAAUUGUCCGACUACAUGGAAAUGUCAAUAUACACGUGGAUCAGGAAAGCCAACCAUUGUUUUAGAGGUUGUAGCUUCACAAGAUCUCUGGAUAUGGCAUGCGUUUUUCAGACCUCCAGGUACAUUAAACGAUAUUAAUGUUCUUGAUCGAUCACCGGUUUUUGAUGAUAUAUUACAAGGUUGAGCUCCAAAAGUAAAUUACAUUGUCAACGGACACGAGUACCAUUUGGCUUACUAUCUCACAGAUGGUAUCUAUCCAAAAUGGGCUACUUUUGUCCAAUCUAUUCCACUUCCGCAAGGUCCGAAAGUAUCCUUAUUCGCUACACAUCAAGAAGCUGUACGUAAAGAUGUCGAGCGUGCUUUUGGGGUCUUGCAAGCUCGAUUUACCAUAGUCAAAAAUCAAGCUCUUUUGUGGGAUAAAAUAAAAAUUGGCAAGAUAAUGAGAGCAUGUAUCAUUCUACAUAAUAUGAUCGUAGAAGACGAACGAAAUGGGUACACUCAGUUUGAUGUAUCAGUUUUCGCACAACCGGAAUCAAACCGAAGUUCACAAGUGGAUUUCACGUAUUCUACAGCUAUGCCUUCAAAUCUCGGCAAUAUGAUGAGCAUUCGGAAUCGAGUUUAUGAUAAUACAAUACAUCAACAAUUGAAAACUGUUUUGGUUAAGCAUAUAUGACAAAAAUUUGUUACAAAUCAAAAUUUCGACUAAUCGGCUUUUUCUCGUUUACGAUUUGUAUUUGUAUUUUUAAUAUGUUUUAUGUAAUUUUUAUCUAUGCAUUUAUUUUAAAUCAUUCUAAUUAAAAAACAAAAUUUAAAAAAUAUUUAAGAACCCCUAUGGGGUUCUCCCAUUGGAGGAAGAGAAAAUUAUUUUCACUAACCAAGGUUCUUAACUUAUAAAAUCACCUUUAAACCUAAUAAUUUAAUCAUUAGAGCACAUUAGGGGUUCUAAUGGAUGGAGUUGCUCUUAGGAUAAAUUACAGUUAGAUGUGUGCGAAAUAUAGAAGUACUAGGUAAAAAUCUGUGCCAUGCGCGAGAUGUGAUUAUUAGUUUCGUUAUUUUUAAUUAAAAGACAUUAAAUCUGUUUAAUCUGGAUAUUGGUUCAGUUUUAAG